This 1000-nucleotide ribosomal RNA is filed under the name uncultured Stenotrophomonas sp. Its description in RNAcentral is "bacterial SSU rRNA". It matches the Rfam family "Bacterial small subunit ribosomal RNA", at positions 486 to 1475 of the family's 1533-position model. Lineage: Bacteria; Pseudomonadati; Pseudomonadota; Gammaproteobacteria; Lysobacterales; Lysobacteraceae. The record is from RNAcentral.
AAAAGAACCGGCUAAUUUUUUUUCUACAAGCCGCGGUUAUAAGUAAGGGGGCAAUCGUACUUCGUAAUAAUUUGGUGCAAAGAAGGCGUAGGUGGUCGUUUAAGUCCUUCGAACAAACCUUGGGCUCCACAUGGGGAGUACAGUGGACACUGGGGGAUUAGAAAGUGGUCGAGGGAUGCGCAAUUCUUAGUGUUGCAAUGAUAAGCCUAGAGAUCAGCAGGAACAUCCAUGAGGAAGGAAGCUAUCUGGGGCAACAUUUUCACUGAGGCGGUAAAGCGUCGGGAGCAUACACGAUUAGAUACCCUGGUAGUCCUCGCCUCAAAAGAUGCGAAAUGGUUGUUGGGUGUAAUUUCGCUUCCUGUGUUGAAUAUAAGGCGUUAACUUUACAGCGUGGGGAGUACGGUCGCAAAAUAGAAACACAAAGGAAUUGUCGGGGGGCCGCUUCAAGCGUUGGUCGUAUGUGGUUUAAAUGGAUGACAAACAGAAACACCCUUCCUCUCCCUGACAUGUAGAGAACGUUCCAGAGAUGGAAUUGUGCGAUUAGGAAAUGGAACACAAAUGUUGCAUGGGUCUCUUCACAUCUAGUCACGAGAUAUGAGGUUAAGUCCCGCGCCGGGCGCACCCCUUGUCUUUAAUUCCCCGCACGUAACGGCGGGGACUUUAAGGAGUCUGCCGGUGACGAAGCAGAGGAAGGUGGGGGCGACGUCAACAUCAUCAAGGUCCUUACGGGCAGGGUGUACAACCGUAGUACAAAGUCACGGACAGAGCGGCUCAAGCCGCUCACGGGAAGUCAAUUCCCAGAAAGCCAAUCUCACUCCCCAGCGGAGUUCGUAACUCGUCUCCAUGCAUGUCGGAAUCCACUAGUAAUAGCAGAUCAGCAUUGUUGCGGUGAAUACGUUCCCGGGCCUUGUACACCCCGCCCGAAAGCGCCAUGCGAGUUCGUGCACCAGAAGCAGGCAGCUAACGACCGGAGGGCGCUACCAGCGGGGCACGUAAGGUG